Molecule: transfer RNA, 72 nt
Filed under: Loxodonta africana (African savanna elephant)
Lineage: Eukaryota; Metazoa; Chordata; Mammalia; Proboscidea; Elephantidae
Rfam family: tRNA
About the family: Transfer RNA (tRNA) molecules are approximately 80 nucleotides in length. Their secondary structure includes four short double-helical elements and three loops (D, anti-codon, and T loops).
Source: Rfam by way of RNAcentral
GCCCUGGUGGCUCAGUGGUUAAAGUGUUUGGCUGCUAACCAUAAGUUCAGCAGUUCAAACCUGCCAGCUGCU